GUUUGGGCCGAGCGGCCGCUGCAGCUGCGGCCUCGGUUUCGAGCCAUGGAUCGGUGGUCAGUCCGGAGACGCCGCUGCCGCUCGGCUCGGCUGCCCGCAUG
Molecule: transfer RNA, 101 nt
Filed under: compost metagenome
Description: tRNA-Arg
Source: RNAcentral